GACGAACGCUGGCGGCGUGCUUAACACAUGCAAGUCGAACGGAAAGGCCCCUUUUGUGGUACUCUAGUGGCGAACGGUUGCGUAACACGUGAGUAACCUUCCCUUUACUUCUGUUUAACUUCAUGAAACUGGGGCUAAUUCCGGUUAGGAAUCCUUGCUUCCUGGUGUGGGUUGGAAAGCUUCUGCGGUUUUGGAUGGACUCGCGGCCUAUCAGCUUGUUGGUGGGGUAGUGGCUUACCAAGGCUUUGACGGGUAGCCGGCCUGAGAGGGCGACAGGCCACAUUGGGACUGAGAGACGGCCGAGAGAGCGAAGGGAGGAAGAAGGGGGGAAGAUUGAACAAGGGGCGGAAGGCUGAUGAAGAAAGGCCGCGUGCGGGAUGACGGCCUUGGGGUUGAAAAAAGAAAUCAGCAGGGGAGAAGCUUGUGGUGACGGUACCUGAAGAAGAAGCACCGGCUAACUACGUG
RNAcentral lists this ribosomal RNA (465 nucleotides) under uncultured bacterium. RNAcentral's name for it is "partial 16S ribosomal RNA". It matches the Rfam family "Bacterial small subunit ribosomal RNA", at positions 28 to 507 of the family's 1533-position model. The record is from RNAcentral.